GCCUUUUCUUUACGCCUUUGACAACUUCGACACAACUUCUAGAAAAGGGGCAAAGCUGAGCCUGCUACCCCUGGGUGGAAGAAGACUGGCUGGCAUCAAAAUCAAGAGCAUUCAAGAGCUAAUAUGAAAAUAAGGCUGGAGAAGUUGUGGGAAAAGUUCCUGUGGCCAUGAGACACAGUUGUUUGAUUCUUAGCCUCUUUCUCCAAAUGAUCUAGUUUACUAAGAAGAAUUUGGGCUUCCUCUAUGGGAGACAGUAUCCCGUGGCCAUGAAAGGCUGCCAUUUUGUGGGCUGCCUACUGAGAGAGCCCCAUGAGGACAACCUCCAGCUGACAGCAAGAAACCAAGGCUCUAGUUAGAGAGCCCAUGAGAAACUGAAUCCUGCCAAUCACACGGGCUUGGGAACAAAUCCUCCUCCCAUCCAGCCUCAGCCAUGUGAAGAUGUGCCUGAUCCCUUUCCUUCUGCCACGAUUGUAAGUUUCCUAAGGCCUCCCCAGAAGC
This 498-nucleotide long non-coding RNA is filed under the name Homo sapiens (human). RNAcentral describes it as "non-protein coding lnc-ASAH2B-7:1". The record is from RNAcentral. Lineage: Eukaryota; Metazoa; Chordata; Mammalia; Primates; Hominidae.